This is a long non-coding RNA of Rhagoletis zephyria (snowberry fruit fly), 133 nucleotides long. RefSeq lists it as uncharacterized. NCBI's taxonomy places the organism in Eukaryota, Metazoa, Arthropoda, Insecta, Diptera, Tephritidae. The record is from RefSeq and is a predicted model, not a curated record.
CAUUUGGUUGGUAAUUCAGAUUUUUCCCAAGCAAGUUUUAGUGUGUGUUUGGCCUUCGUGUGGUAUGCUGCUAUGUAUGGCUAAUCAGUUUUAAGCCAAUAAGUGUAGUAUCUUAAAAAAAGUGGCCAUAAAA